Non-coding RNA from Dipodomys ordii (Ord's kangaroo rat), 65 nucleotides. The record is from Rfam. Lineage: Eukaryota; Metazoa; Chordata; Mammalia; Rodentia; Heteromyidae.
GGUGGCUCAAUGGUAGAGCGCUUGCCUUGCAUGCAUGAGACCCUGGGUUCGAUUCCUCAGCACCA